RNAcentral lists this transfer RNA (77 nucleotides) under Ktedonobacter robiniae. Its description in RNAcentral is "tRNA-Asn". It matches the Rfam family "tRNA". From Rfam's summary of the family: Transfer RNA (tRNA) molecules are approximately 80 nucleotides in length. Their secondary structure includes four short double-helical elements and three loops (D, anti-codon, and T loops). Further hydrogen bonds mediate the characteristic L-shaped molecular structure. tRNAs have two regions of fundamental functional importance: the anti-codon, which is responsible for specific mRNA codon recognition, and the 3' end, to which the tRNAs corresponding amino acid is attached (by aminoacyl-tRNA synthetases). tRNAs cope with the degeneracy of the genetic code in two manners: having more than one tRNA (with a specific anti-codon) for a particular amino acid; and 'wobble' base-pairing, i.e. permitting non-standard base-pairing at the 3rd anti-codon position. The record is from RNAcentral. Lineage: Bacteria; Bacillati; Chloroflexota; Ktedonobacteria; Ktedonobacterales; Ktedonobacteraceae.
UCUCGCGUAGCUCAAAUGGUGAGAGCGGUGGAUUGUUAAUCCAUAGGUUAGUGGUUCGAGUCCAUUCGCGGGAGCCA